RNAcentral lists this ribosomal RNA (253 nucleotides) under uncultured bacterium. RNAcentral's name for it is "partial 16S ribosomal RNA". It matches the Rfam family "Bacterial small subunit ribosomal RNA", at positions 524 to 776 of the family's 1533-position model. The record is from RNAcentral.
GACGAACCGUCCAAACGUUAUCCGGAAUCACUGGGUUUAAAGGGUGCGUAGGCGGCUCGGUAAGUCAGUUGUGAAAGCCCCUUGCUUAACGAGGGAGGUGCGAUUGAUACUGUCGAGCUUGAAUCGGGAUGAGGCAGGCGGAAUGUGGCAUGUAGCGGUGAAAUGCAUAGAUAUGCCAUAGAACACCGAUUGCGAAGGCAGCCUGCUGGGCCUGUAUUGACGCUGAGGCACGAAAGCGUGGGGAGCAAACAGG